AUGAAGUCAUUUAUAUCACCAUCAGAAAUCCUUGUGGCUUUCUUUUUUCUAUGUACUAUUUAAAAAUGAGCUUUUCAGUGGCUGCAAACAGCAGCCUCCUCGGUAGUGUAUGCAGCCUGUUGCCUGUAUGGGUUGCCCUAAGGGACCUUGGAGACAGCC
This 159-nucleotide small nucleolar RNA is filed under the name Physeter macrocephalus (sperm whale). RNAcentral's name for it is "Physeter catodon (sperm whale) Small nucleolar RNA SNORA70 (ENSPCTG00005001873.1)". It matches the Rfam family "Small nucleolar RNA SNORA70". From Rfam's summary of the family: snoRNA U70 seems to be exclusive to mammals and is a member of the H/ACA class of snoRNA which contain H (ANANNA) and ACA box motifs. H/ACA box snoRNAs are involved in the conversion of uridines to pseudouridines (5-ribosyluracil) a constituent of structural RNAs (transfer, ribosomal, small nuclear, and small nucleolar). Lineage: Eukaryota; Metazoa; Chordata; Mammalia; Artiodactyla; Physeteridae. The record is from Rfam by way of RNAcentral.